CCUACGGGCGGCAGCAGUGGGGAAUAUUGGACAAUGGGCGAAAGCCUGAUCCAGCCAUGCCGCGUGUGUGAAGAAGGCCUUCGGGUUGUAAAGCACUUUCAGUGGGGAAGAAAGCCUUGGGGCUAAUACCCUCGAGGAAGGACAUCACCCACAGAAGAAGCACCGGCUAACUCCGUGCCAGCAGCCGCGGUAAUACGGAGGGUGCGAGCGUUAAUCGGAAUUACUGGGCGUAAAGCGCGCGUAGGCGGUCUGAUAAGCCGGUUGUGAAAGCCCGGGCUCAACCUGGGAACGGCAUCCGGAACUGUCAGGCUAGAGUGCAGGAGAGGAAGGUAGAAUUCCCGGUGUAGCGGUGAAAUGCGUAGAGAUCGGGAGGAAUACCAGUGGCGAAGGCGGCCUUCUGGACUGACACUGACGCUGAGGUGCGAAAGCGUGGGUAGCAAACAGGAUUAGAACCCCUGUAGUC
This 463-nucleotide ribosomal RNA is filed under the name Vreelandella stevensii. RNAcentral's name for it is "partial 16S ribosomal RNA". It matches the Rfam family "Bacterial small subunit ribosomal RNA", at positions 338 to 795 of the family's 1533-position model. The record is from RNAcentral. Lineage: Bacteria; Pseudomonadati; Pseudomonadota; Gammaproteobacteria; Oceanospirillales; Halomonadaceae.